Molecule: ribosomal RNA, 253 nt
Filed under: uncultured bacterium
Lineage: Bacteria
Description: partial 16S ribosomal RNA
Rfam family: Bacterial small subunit ribosomal RNA
Source: RNAcentral
UACGGAGGUCCCAAGCGUUGUUCGGAUUCACUGGGCGUAAAGGGUGCGUAGGUGGCUUGGUAAGUUUGAUGUGAAAUCUCCGGGCUUAACCCGGAAAUGGCAUUGAAUACUAUUGAGCUGGAGGUUUGGAGGGGGGACUGGAAUUCUCGGUGUAGCAGUGAAAUGCGUAGAUAUCGAGAGGAACACCAGUGGCGAAGGCGAGUCCCUGGACAACACCUGACGCUGAGGCACGAAAGCUAGGGGAGCAAACAGG